RNAcentral lists this ribosomal RNA (253 nucleotides) under uncultured bacterium. Its description in RNAcentral is "partial 16S ribosomal RNA". It matches the Rfam family "Bacterial small subunit ribosomal RNA", at positions 524 to 776 of the family's 1533-position model. The record is from RNAcentral.
UACGUAGGGUGCGAGCGUUAAUCGGAAUUACUGGGCGUAAAGCGUGCGCAGGCGGUUUUGUAAGUCAGAUGUGGAAUCCCCGGGCUUAACCUGGGAACUGCGUUUGAAACUACAAGGCUAGAGUGUGACAGAGGGGGGUGGAAUUCCACGUGUAGCAGUGAAAUGCGUAGAGAUGCGGAGGAACACCGAUGGCGAAGGCAGCCCCCUGGGCUAGCACUGACGCUCAGGCACGAAAGCGUGGGGAGCAAACAGG